Molecule: ribosomal RNA, 374 nt
Filed under: uncultured organism
Description: partial 16S ribosomal RNA
Rfam family: Bacterial small subunit ribosomal RNA
Source: RNAcentral
GGGGGGGGGGGCAAGCGUUGUUCGGAAUUACUGGGCGUAAAGGGCGUGUAGGCGGUCCAGCAAGUCUUUCGUGAAAUCCCACAGCUCAACUGUGGAACUGCGAGGGAAACUGCAGGACUUGAGUCCGGGAGAGGAGAGUGGAAUUCCCAGUGUAGCGGUGAAAUGCGUAGAUAUUGGGAGGAACACCGGUGGCGAAGGCGGCUCUCUGGACCGGCACUGACGCUGAGGCGCGAAAGCUAGGGGAGCAAACGGGAUUAGAUACCCCGGUAGUCCUAGCCUUAAACGAUGAGCACUUGGUGUGGCGGGUAUCGACCCCUGCCGUGCCGAAGCUAACGCAUUAAGUGCUCCGCCUGGGGAGUACGGUCGCAAGGCUG